Molecule: ribosomal RNA, 318 nt
Filed under: uncultured Desulfovibrio sp.
Lineage: Bacteria; Pseudomonadati; Thermodesulfobacteriota; Desulfovibrionia; Desulfovibrionales; Desulfovibrionaceae
Description: bacterial SSU rRNA
Rfam family: Bacterial small subunit ribosomal RNA
Source: RNAcentral
AUUGAACGCUGGUGGCGUGCUUAACACAUGCAAGUCGAGCGAGAAAGUUCUCUUCGGAGAGCGAGUAGAGCGGCGCACGGGUGAGUAACGCGUGGGUAACGUACCUUGUUGACUGGGAUAACAGUUGGAAACGACUGCUAAUACCGGAUGUGAUACAUAUUUAACUUUAUGUGUGAAAGGUGGCCUCUUUUUAAGCUACCGCAACGAGAUCGGCCCGCGUUUCAUUAGCUUGAUGGUGGGGUAAUGGCCUACCAUGGCUACGAUGAAUAGCUGGUCUGAGAGGAUGAUCAGCCACACUGGAACUGAAACACGGUCCAG